UGAGGAAUAUUGGGCAAUGGGGGCAACCCUGACCCAGCAAUGCCGCGUGCGGGAUGAAGGCCUUCGGGUUGUAAACCGCUUUUCUGGGGGAGCAGACAAGGAGCGUACCUCAGGAAUAAGUCACGGCUAACUACGUGCCAGCAGCCGCGGUAAUACGUAGGUGGCGAACGUUAUCCGGAAUAACUGGGCGUAAAGGGUCCGUAGGCGGCUAAGCAGGUCUGGCGUGAAAGCCCUCGGCUAAACUGAGGGAGUGCGUUGGAAACCGCGUAGCUAGCAUCACGCAGGGGCUGGUGGAAUUCCCGGUGUAGUGGUGGAAUGCGUAGAGAUCGGGAGGAACCUCUAGAGCGAAGGCAACCGGCUAGGCGAUGAUGGACGCUGAGGGACGAAAGCGUGGGGAGCGAACA
RNAcentral lists this ribosomal RNA (404 nucleotides) under uncultured bacterium. Its description in RNAcentral is "bacterial SSU rRNA". It matches the Rfam family "Bacterial small subunit ribosomal RNA", at positions 355 to 774 of the family's 1533-position model. The record is from RNAcentral.